CAUGAUUUCAUUUGAGUGAGUGGCGAACUGGUGAGUAACACGUGGGAAACCUGCCCAGAAGCGGGGGAUAACACCUGGAAACAGAUGCUAAUACCGCAUAACAACUUGGACCGCAUGGUCCGAGCUUGAAAGAUGGCUUCGGCUAUCACUUUUGGAUGGUCCCGCGGCGUAUUAGCUAGAUGGUGGGGUAACGGCUCACCAUGGCAAUGAUACGUAGCCGACCUGAGAGGGUAAUCGGCCACAUUGGGACUGAGACACGGCCCAAACUCCUACGGGAGGCAGCAGUAGGGAAUCUUCCACAAUGGACGAAAGUCUGAUGGAGCAACGCCGCGUGAGUGAAGAAGGGUUUCGGCUCGUAAAACUCUGUUGUUAAAGAAGAACAUAUCUGAGAGUAACUGUUCAGGUAUUGACGGUAUUUAACCAGAAAGCCACGGCUAACUACGUGCCAGCAGCCGCGGUAAUACGUAGGUGGCAAGCGUUGUCCGGAUUUAUUGGGCGUAAAGCGAGCGCAGGCGGUUUUUUAAGUCUGAUGUGAAAGCCUUCGGCUCAACCGAAGAAGUGCAUCGGAAACUGGGAAACUUGAGUGCAGAAGAGGACAGU
RNAcentral lists this ribosomal RNA (600 nucleotides) under Lactiplantibacillus plantarum. Its description in RNAcentral is "bacterial SSU rRNA". It matches the Rfam family "Bacterial small subunit ribosomal RNA", at positions 75 to 662 of the family's 1533-position model. The record is from RNAcentral. Lineage: Bacteria; Bacillati; Bacillota; Bacilli; Lactobacillales; Lactobacillaceae.